Molecule: ribosomal RNA, 1001 nt
Filed under: uncultured bacterium
Lineage: Bacteria
Description: bacterial SSU rRNA
Rfam family: Bacterial small subunit ribosomal RNA
Source: RNAcentral
GCUUAGAGUUUGAUCCUGGCUCAGAUUGAACGCUGGCGGCAUGGCUAAAGCAUGCAAGUCGAACGAUACAGUGGCGAAAGGGCGAGUAAUGGCAUCGAACGUACCCCGAGGUGGGGGAUAGCUAGGGGAAACCCUGGGUAAUACCCCAUGUGCUCUCCGGAGGAAAGGCUUGUCCGCCUCGGGAGCGGCGAUGCUCCUAUCAGGUAGUUGGUGAGGUAAAGGCUCACCAAGCCUAAGACGGGUAGCGGGUGUGAGAGCAUGACCCGCCGCAUCGGGACUGAGACACUGCCCGGACUCCUACGGGAGGCUGCAGCAACGAAUAUUCCGCAAUGCGCGAAAGCGUGACGGAGCAAUGCCGCGUGUAGGAUGAAGCGGUUUCGCCGUGUAAACUACUGUCAGGGUGUAGGAAGAUCUGACCGCACCCAGAGGAAGGGCCGGCUAAACUCGUGCCAGCAGCCGCGGUAAGACGAGUGGCCCGAGCGUUAUUCAGAAUCACUGGGCUUAAAGCGUGCGCAGGCGGACCUGCAAGCGUCCCGUGAAAUCCCACGGCUCAACCGUGGAACUGCGGGGCGAACUGCUUGUCUUGAGGGAGGCAGAGGCCGACGGAACCAUAGGUGGAGCGGUGGAAUGCGUAGAUAUCUAUGGGAACGCCAAAGGAGAAGUCAGUCGGCUGGGCCUUACCUGACGCUCAUGCACGAAAGCGUGGGGAGCAAACAGGAUUAGAUACCCUGGUAGUCCACGCCCUAAACGAUGCGCACUAGAUCGAGGGAGCUCUGACGCUUUCUCGGUCGAAGAGAAAUCGUUAAGUGCGCCGCCUGGGGAGUACGGUCGCAAGGCUAAAACUCAAAGGAAUUGACGGGGGCUCACACAAGCGGUGGAGCAUGUUGCUUAAUUCGAAAGCACGCGAAGAACCCUUACCGGGUUUGACAUGCACGGAUUAGCCUUUGGAAACAUAGGUAACGCCCUUUUGGGUGGAACGUGCACAGGUGCUGCAUGGCUGU